UUUGUUUGUUUGUUUGUUUUUAUGUAGUGCUGAGGUUGGAACCCAGGGCCUCACAUGUGCUAGGCAAAUGCCUACCACUGAGCUACAACUACAGCCCCGACUUUAUGCCUUUUAAUGGUCAGGGGCCAGCUCCACCUUAAGUUUGAAGGUAAGCUGGAGAUGUCGGAGAGGAAGUUUCUGGGAAAUCUUCAACCAAUAUAGGAGUCCCAUGUGUUAUGAAGGGAAUUAUGCUCCUAUGCAAAUAGAUACAGCUAAACACUCA
RNAcentral lists this long non-coding RNA (262 nucleotides) under Ictidomys tridecemlineatus (thirteen-lined ground squirrel). Its description in RNAcentral is "lncRNA (ENSSTOG00000030834.1)". Lineage: Eukaryota; Metazoa; Chordata; Mammalia; Rodentia; Sciuridae. The record is from RNAcentral.